CUUCAAUGAUAGCAGUGUUUUUCAACAGCAGUUUGCCUAGUGAGGAUUGAUAUUUUGGGUCUGAAAGA
Nycticebus coucang (slow loris) is the source of this 68-nucleotide small nucleolar RNA. RefSeq annotates it as small nucleolar RNA SNORD56. The record is from RefSeq and is a predicted model, not a curated record. NCBI's taxonomy places the organism in Eukaryota, Metazoa, Chordata, Mammalia, Primates, Lorisidae. The transcript has a single exon.